This is a long non-coding RNA of Hemicordylus capensis (graceful crag lizard), 386 nucleotides long. RefSeq lists it as uncharacterized. NCBI's taxonomy places the organism in Eukaryota, Metazoa, Chordata, Lepidosauria, Squamata, Cordylidae. The record is from RefSeq and is a predicted model, not a curated record. The transcript is spliced from 4 exons.
GGAGGAGGAGGAGGAGCUUUCUCCCAUCUCACUGUGCAGCACACCAGGAAAAAAGCAGCAUGUCAGAGCGACCACGAAGGGGAAAUGCCUUCAGAUCUUUUGAUUCAUGACCACUUAGAAAGGCAGCAAAUUUGGAGCAGAUUUUGCUGAAGGGAUUUACUGAGCCAUAGAGAGAGAGCCAGCCUAGUGUUUUACUAAAUGGCUGUCCGUGUUCUGGCAGCAGGGCUGCUGGGGAGGGUUGUGGCAACAGUUCAGUACAAAUAAGAACAGAAACCAAUCCCAGCAUCUGCACCACAUGACAGAUGUUGAAAUGUGAUGGUUUAGUUUUUCUGAAGGCUUACAACUACGAGGGAAAGAAAUAUAGAAGCAUUAGUCCUUUAUAGAAC